GACGCUCACCGCCGCCGCUGUUUCUGUGGAGUCGCGCGCCGCUCUGGCCGCCGCCGCUGCCCCGCUGCCUCCGACCGGCAAGCCCCAUGCGAUCAUCCCGCCCCGCCCCGCACGCCCUACUCCGGCACGGCCGCUCCGCCCCGCCCCGCCAUUGGCUUCUGCAUGACGCCGCCGCUCCGACCCUCUCUGCCCAGCCUCUGAUCGUCAACGCGCCACCCCGCUCAGAGCCUGGCCGGCUCGCCUCGCCACACUGCCAGACAUCGCCCUACCCACGGCCGUCAUCCUCCAUCAACGCGAUCCGGCGCCACUGCAAGGAUGAGUAGUAGGAAAACCAGGCACACAACGAGGAGGUUCCGUAAUGCGGCUAGCAGGAUACUCCAUAGUGCACAUGGUCAAUCCUUUUCCAAGGGAG
Molecule: unclassified non-coding RNA, 412 nt
Filed under: Zea mays
Lineage: Eukaryota; Viridiplantae; Streptophyta; Magnoliopsida; Poales; Poaceae
Description: misc RNA Zm00001eb221800
Source: RNAcentral